Molecule: ribosomal RNA, 433 nt
Filed under: uncultured bacterium
Lineage: Bacteria
Description: partial 16S ribosomal RNA
Rfam family: Bacterial small subunit ribosomal RNA
Source: RNAcentral
AACGAACGCUGGCGGCAGGCUUAACACAUGCAAGUCGAGCGAGACCUUCGGGCCUAGCGGCGGACGGGUGAGUAGCGCGUGGGAACGUGCCCUUCUCUACGGAAUAGCCCCGGGAAACUGGGAGUAAUACCGUAUACGCCCUUUGGGGGAAAGAGUUAUCGGAGAAGGAUCGGCCCGGGUUGGAUUAGGUAGUUGGUGGGGUAAUGGCCCACCAAGCCGACGAGCCAUAGCUGGUUUGAGAGGAUGAUCAGCCACACUGGGACUGGGCCACGGCCCAGACUCCUACGGGAGGCAGCAGUGGCGAAUCCUAGACAAUCGCGGCAACCCUGAUCUAGCCAUGCCGGGUGAGUGAUGAAGGCCUUAGGGUUGUAAAGCUCUUUCAGCUGGGAAGAUAAUGACGGUACCAGCAGAAGAAGCCCCGGCUAACUCCGUG